This 88-nucleotide ribosomal RNA is filed under the name Peziza subcitrina. RNAcentral describes it as "5.8S ribosomal RNA". It matches the Rfam family "5.8S ribosomal RNA", at positions 70 to 154 of the family's 154-position model. From Rfam's summary of the family: 5.8S ribosomal RNA (5.8S rRNA) is a component of the large subunit of the eukaryotic ribosome. It is transcribed by RNA polymerase I as part of the 45S precursor that also contains 18S and 28S rRNA. The record is from RNAcentral. Lineage: Eukaryota; Fungi; Ascomycota; Pezizomycetes; Pezizales; Pezizaceae.
AAUUGCAGAAUCUCGUGAAUCAUUGAAUCUUUGAACGCACAUUGCGCCUUAUGGUAUUCCAUAAGGCAUGCCUGUCUGAGCGUCAGCU